This 465-nucleotide ribosomal RNA is filed under the name uncultured bacterium. Its description in RNAcentral is "partial 16S ribosomal RNA". It matches the Rfam family "Bacterial small subunit ribosomal RNA", at positions 339 to 795 of the family's 1533-position model. The record is from RNAcentral.
CUACGGGCGGCUGCAGUGAGGAAUUUUGCGCAAUGGGGGGAACCCUGACGCAGCAACGCCGCGUGAGUGAUGAAGGCUUUCGGGUCGUAAAGCUCUGUCAAGUGGGAAGAACCUAUGCAGUGUUAAUAUCACUGUAUACUGACGGUACCACUGAAGGAAGCACCGGCUAACUCCGCGCCAGCAGCCGCGGUAAUACGGGGGGUGCAAGCGUUAUUCGGAAUCAUUGGGCGUAAAGGGCACGUUGGCGGCUUGGUAAGUCAGAUGUGAAAGCCCGGGGCUUAACCCCGGAAGUGCAUUUGAUACUGUCAGGCUUGAGUAUGGGAGAGGGAAGUGGAAUUCCUGGUGUAGAGGUGAAAUUCGUAGAUAUCAGGAGGAACACCGGUGGCGAAGGCGACUUCCUGGACCAAUACCGACGCUGAGGUGCGAAGGCGUGGGUAGCAAACAGGAUUAGAUACCCCAGUAGUC